AUGGGCAUCUCAGGUGCUGUGGAGUGGUGGGAGGAGUGGCAGCUGCGCAUCCUCGUCCUCGCCAGCCUCUUCCUCCAGUGGAUCCUGUUUAUCUCAUCUACCCUGCGUAAGCUUGCUCUUCCUUCCUGGUUCAGGUCCUUAAUCUGGCUAACGUACCUAGGCAGCGAUGCUCUAGCCAUAUACGCCCUGGCUACCCUCUUUAGCCGCCAGCGGAAGCAGGAUUAUGGUUCUGCAAACAGCGAUAGCAUCCUCGAGGUGGUUUGGGCGCCCGUUCUCCUGGUCCACCUUGGUGGACAGGACGGCAUAACCGCCUACAACAUCGAGGACAACGAGCUGUGGACUCGGCAUGUCCUCACUGCUGUGUCCCAAAUCACCGUAGCCAUCUAUGUGUUUUGCAAAUCAUGGCCUGGUGGCGACAAGAGGUUAUUGCAGGCGUCAAUCUUGUUCUUCGUCCUGGGGAUACUCAAAUGCAUAGAGAAGCCCUGGGCUCUCAAGAGCGCUAGCUUCAGUAGCCUAGUCAGCUUAGCCGACCCUUAUCUCAAUCAUCGAAGGAUGGCGAGAAGGGCAGCAAUCAAAGCUGCUCGACCUCCUUGGUUGGUGCGGUAUCAGCAAAGGCUGAACUCCCUCUUCCCGGAGGCGACGAUCAAGGCUGAUUCGCUUUCGAGGAUGGUAAGCAGGAUAGGCAAGGACAUUUUGCUUGAAGACUAUGUGCAAAAAGCAAGGGCUUUUGUCCUGGCCGACUGUCGUUCUCAAGCCAGAGUAGAAGGUGGCGGAAUUGACCAUCAGCACAGCCAUGUUCCUCUAGCGCAAGGAGAAGCCAAUGAAGUGGACCUUGAGGGCAACCAUCAUCGUCAAGCCCAAGGAAAGGACAAUGAGGCUGACGGUGAGCCUGACCAUGUUCCUCAAUCACAAGAAGAACAUGGCGAAGCUGACCUUGAGCUCAACCAUGUUCCUCGAGCACAAAAAGAAGGUGGCGUGGCUGACCCGCCCAACCAUGUUCCUGAAGCCCAGGGAGAAGGCGAUAGAGUAAACCGCCUAAUCCAAUUAGGGAGAUUGGACCUUGACACCCGUAAGUUAUUUGUAGACCUUGCAUCAUCGAAUUCUGAUCGGCUAACUGUCCUAGAAUUCUUCCUGGCGCAUGAAGCAUAUGCUUCUUUGCAAGGAGAGCUAUUCAAGAUGUUUGAUCUUCUCUACACAAAAGCGAAGAUGAUAACCAUGUUUGCAGAAACACCCACAACAGACGGCAUUACAUCAAUGAGUUUUUUUUCUGGCUGCGUACGUUUAGCAGCUAUAUUUCUGCCAUUAGCAGCCAUUGGCCUCUUCCACAAGAGUCGCAGAGACGCUUAUAACAUUAACGAUGUCCAGGUUACAUAUACAUUGUUCUGUUGUACUGCUGUGCUGGAGUAUAUUUCCAUGUCCACUGUAAUGUUCGUGUCUGCGCUGAUGGAUGCGAUAAUCCCGUCCGGUAUGGUUGCCCAAUAUAGCCUCGUAGGUUUCUUAAUCCGCAACAAAAGACACAGCAAGAAAAUGUGCAUCCUUAGUUCCCUCAAUUGCAAGGAUUUCCUUGACCAGCGUUUGUGCACGAAGUCAUGUUCCUCAUCUUCCAGAAUUACAAAGUUGGUUCUUCAGCAUGUGAAAGGUUGGUGGAAGGAACACAUAAUAGAUGCUGCCAGUUACAGGAGGUUCAGUGAUCACAGGGGGCAAUGGACUAUUCAGCGUAAAGAAUGCGACGAAAGCCAGGAAUGGGGGCUAAACAGGUCGUUCGACGAGAGUGUCCUUCUCUGGCACAUCGCAACGGACUUGUGCUUCUACCAAAAGGGCGACACAUCAGCCAGUCACGGAAAUGCCACGGAAUGCCGAGAAAUUUCCAGUUACAUGAUAUACCUACUGUUUGUCAAGCCUGAGAUGCUGUUGCCCGGCGCGAGACGGAGUCUGUUCAAGACUGCUAAUGCUGAACUGGAGGAGUUCCUCAAGGACGACGAGGCAUCAGUGAUGGAGAUCCUCAAGGGAAAAGGGACAUUGCCUGAGGAGACUGAAAAAAGACUUGUGGACAGGAUAGUUGUCAAGUUGCAGCGCACAGAAUGCAGAGAAGAAGUCACAGGAUGCACAGAAUUGCCACCGGAUGCAGAGAAAUAUCCAGCGCUACGGCAAGGUUUGAUUAUCCACGACGCCUGGAAGAUUUCUAAAAUGUUGUUGGCUCUGGGUGAUGAGAAGAAGAUGUGGGAGGUAAUUGAAGGCGUGUGGGUGGAGAUGCUCUGCUUCUCUGCUAGUAGGUGCCGAGGGUUCCUACACGCCAGGAGUUUGGGCACUGGCGGGGAGCUGCUCACAUACAUCUGGCUCCUGCUGUCACACAUGGGGAUGGAGACCUUGCCGGAGAGGGUGCAGAGGAGGGACCUUUCAAGUGGAGGAGGAAACACCGACACCACUCCAUCAACUUCCCAGAUACCUGGGAGCGAAGAUGCACGACCCUUGAAACGCCAGAGGCCUCAUGAAGCUGCUGGUGCUGGCGCAUCUACCUCUCGACCUGAAGAAAUACAACCAGCUGAAUAG
Molecule: ribosomal RNA, 2550 nt
Filed under: Triticum aestivum (bread wheat)
Lineage: Eukaryota; Viridiplantae; Streptophyta; Magnoliopsida; Poales; Poaceae
Description: partial small subunit ribosomal RNA
Source: RNAcentral